This 251-nucleotide ribosomal RNA is filed under the name uncultured bacterium. RNAcentral's name for it is "partial 16S ribosomal RNA". It matches the Rfam family "Bacterial small subunit ribosomal RNA", at positions 103 to 354 of the family's 1533-position model. The record is from RNAcentral.
CGGGUGAGUAACGCGUGGGUAACCUGCCUCAUACAGGGGGAUAACAGUUAGAAAUGACUGCUAAUACCGCAUAAGCGCACAAAAUCGCAUGGUUUGGUGUGAAAAACUGAGGUGGUAUGAGAUGGACCCGCGUCUGAUUAGCUAGUUGGAGAGGUAACGGCUCACCAAGGCAACGAUCAGUAGCCGACCUGAGAGGGUGACCGGCCACAUUGGGACUGAGACACGGCCCAAACUCCUACGGGAGGCAGCAG